Molecule: ribosomal RNA, 493 nt
Filed under: uncultured bacterium
Lineage: Bacteria
Description: partial 16S ribosomal RNA
Rfam family: Bacterial small subunit ribosomal RNA
Source: RNAcentral
AGUGAACGCUGGCGGUAGGCCUAACACAUGCAAGUCGAACGGCAGCACAGUAAGAGCUUGCUCUUACGGGUGGCGAGUGGCGGACGGGUGAGGAAUACAUCGGAAUCUACUUUUUCGUGGGGGAUAACGUAGGGAAACUUACGCUAAUACCGCAUACGACCUACGGGUGAAAGCAGGGGAUCUUCGGACCUUGCGCGAUUGAAUGAGCCGAUGUCGGAUUAGCUAGUUGGCGGGGUAAAGGCCCACCAAGGCGACGAUCCGUAGCUGGUCUGAGAGGAUGAUCAGCCACACUGGAACUGAGACACGGUCCAGGCUCCUACGGGGAGGCAGCAUUGGGGAAUAUUGGACAAUGGGCGCAAGCCUGAUCCAGCCAUACCGCGUGGGUGAAGAAGGCCUUCGGGUUUUAAAGCCCUUUUGUUGGGAAAGAAAAGCAGCAGGUUAAUACCCCGCUGUUCUGACGGUACCCAAAGAAUAAGCACCGGCUAACUUCGUG